RNAcentral lists this long non-coding RNA (210 nucleotides) under Lathyrus oleraceus (garden pea). RNAcentral's name for it is "Pisum sativum (pea) long non-coding RNA (PSAT_LNC002946)". Lineage: Eukaryota; Viridiplantae; Streptophyta; Magnoliopsida; Fabales; Fabaceae. The record is from RNAcentral.
AGGGUUGUUGUUCAUUAUGAUCUUCCGCUGUGGAGUUGUGUGCAAUGAAGAUAUUGUACAUAGUUCUUAGAUUUUUAUUGUUUAGGCAUUAUUGUAUAACAUGUUCCAUUGAUGUUUUUAGUUUGGACAUGUAUAUAUAUUGAUGCCAUUAGACACUUAUGUUGUGACAGUACCAAAAUUUAACACUUGUAUGAUAUUAUUCUAGAUAUA